UUGAACGCUGGCGGCAUGCCUUACCCCUGCAAGUCGAACGGCAGCAUGAUCUAGCUUGCUCGAUUGAUGGCGAGUGGCGAACGGGUGAGUAAUACAUCGGAACGUGCCCUGUAGUGGGGGAUAACUAGUCGAAAGAUUAGCUAAUACCGCAUACGACCUGAGGGUGAAAGUGGGGGACCGCAAGGCCUCAUGCUAUAGGAGCGGCCGAUGUCUGAUUAGCUAGUUGGUGAGGUAAAGGCUCACCAAGGCGACGAUCAGUAGCUGGUCUGAGAGGACGAUCAGCCACACUGGGACUGAGACACGGCCCAGACUCCUACGGGAGGCAGCAGUGGGGAAUUUUGGACAAUGGGCGAAAGCCUGAUCCAGCAAUGCCGCGUGUGUGAAGAAGGCCUUCGGGUUGUAAAGCACUUUUGUCCGGAAAGAAAUGGCUCUGGUUAAUACCUGGGGUCGAUGACGGUACCGGAAGAAUAAGGACCGGCUAACUACGUG
RNAcentral lists this ribosomal RNA (489 nucleotides) under uncultured bacterium. RNAcentral's name for it is "partial 16S ribosomal RNA". It matches the Rfam family "Bacterial small subunit ribosomal RNA", at positions 30 to 507 of the family's 1533-position model. The record is from RNAcentral.